This 336-nucleotide long non-coding RNA is filed under the name Homo sapiens (human). RNAcentral describes it as "non-protein coding lnc-NLRP3-7:1". Lineage: Eukaryota; Metazoa; Chordata; Mammalia; Primates; Hominidae. The record is from RNAcentral.
GACUUUAGAUGUAGAGGGAAUACAUUAAAGACAAACUUCUCAUUUUGCAAUUUGGCUUUGGCCCUAAUGGUCAGGCUGUGGUUUUCUGUUUCCUCCUGUGGUGUGGAAUUUAAGUGUGUGAGUUUAAGCACAAAUCACAUGCAUGUCUACGUGCACUUCUGUAUGGCUCAACACCGUCUAACCAGAAAUCCAACUUUACAUAAAGGGAAAAGGAAAUCAGUACAUACAGGGUGCCUUGUGUUUGCCUGGUAAAUUGCAAUCAACAUGUCAUUGAAUCCUGGCAUCCUGUCUGCACUAGGUGUACGUAUUACCUAUUGCUUCACAGUAAAAUUCCCC